GAAAAAGUGCACCUUGGACUUGAGAUGUUAGAAGCUUUAAACUUAAAUUGAUCAUUUGGGAGUGAAAUGGGUAUGAAAAAGGGGCUUCCUUUAGAUGAAUCAAAUACUUGCCUCUACACAUGGAAGAGCCAGAAAAAUUCAAGAGUCCUUUUUUUAAAUUUUGAUAAGUAAACUCCAAAUGGCUCUCUUCUAACCAGAAUCCAAAAGGUGCAUUCUCUAUCCAGAUUAAUAGGGGAGAGCUCAUCCACUCUAAAUUGACAUUUAGCAGAGAGCGUAGUUGAGUGAAUGGGUACACAAGUAAUGGAGAACAGGGGGCAGAGCAAUUCUGUGAAGUUACUUUUCACAAUUCUGUUUUAACGGUCUAGGGAAUGGUAUUAGCUUACCUCAAGGCCUUCACGUUCUACCAUAUGAAGAGCAUAUAAUUUCCAUCUUAAUUUAUGAUAUUGUUUGAUGAUCUACAGCCUACAGGGAACAUCUGAUUUACAAUUAACAAGAUCAAACUUCAGUUGAGUCACACUGUCUUCAUAAUUUCCAAUUUUCGAGAUCAAGGAAAAAUCAUGAAUUUUCUCCAUCUUAGAUGCUCAUAGCUAGAGAAGGACAUAAAAAGAAAAUAAAAAGACAGUCAGGAAACGAGCAUUGGAAAGAAGAAUAUAGGACAGAGUUGUGAAAAUAUUAUGAAGAAAGAAGCUGAAACCUAACAAAAUUUGACUAAUAAAGAAAAUUUAUAACUAGCAAAUAAGAAAGUACAUCAUCUCAUGUAUAGACACAACGGCAAAUAGAAUAACAACCUCAACAAGAGCAGUUAUCUGAUUUU
This 814-nucleotide long non-coding RNA is filed under the name Nicotiana benthamiana. Its description in RNAcentral is "long non-coding RNA (NBEN_LNC002707)". The record is from RNAcentral. Lineage: Eukaryota; Viridiplantae; Streptophyta; Magnoliopsida; Solanales; Solanaceae.